GCGCAGCAGGCGAGAAACCUUCGCAAUGCGGGAAACCGCGACGAGGGACUCCCAGUGCCUACGCUCAGCGUAGGCUGUUCCCGAGCCUAGAAAGCUCGGGGAGUAAGGGCUGGGUAAGACGGGUGCCAGCCGCCGCGGUAAUACCCGCAGCCCGAGUGGUGGCCACUAUUAUUGGGCCUAAAGCGUCCGUAGCCGGCCCGGUAAAAUGCCUGGGGUAAAUCGUGAGGCCUAACCUCACGAAUUCCGGGUAGACU
RNAcentral lists this ribosomal RNA (254 nucleotides) under uncultured microorganism. RNAcentral's name for it is "partial 16S ribosomal RNA". It matches the Rfam family "Archaeal small subunit ribosomal RNA", at positions 330 to 585 of the family's 1478-position model. The record is from RNAcentral.